RNAcentral lists this ribosomal RNA (254 nucleotides) under uncultured bacterium. RNAcentral's name for it is "partial 16S ribosomal RNA". It matches the Rfam family "Bacterial small subunit ribosomal RNA", at positions 524 to 776 of the family's 1533-position model. The record is from RNAcentral.
UACGAAGGGGGCUAGCGUUGCUCGGAAUCACUGGGCGUAAAGCGCACGUAGGCGGAUCGUUAAGUCGGGGGUGAAAUCCUGGAGCUCAACUCCAGAACUGCCCUCGAUACUGGCGAUCUUCGAGUCCGGGAGAGGUGAGUGGAACUGCGAGUGUAGAGGUGAAAUUCGUAGAUAUUCGCAAGAACACCAGUGGCGAAGGCGGCUCACUGGCCCGAUACUGACGCUGAGGCACGAAAGCGUGGGGAGCGAACAGG